This 485-nucleotide ribosomal RNA is filed under the name uncultured bacterium. RNAcentral describes it as "partial 16S ribosomal RNA". It matches the Rfam family "Bacterial small subunit ribosomal RNA", at positions 27 to 507 of the family's 1533-position model. The record is from RNAcentral.
GAUUGAACGCUGGCGGAAUGCUUUCCACCUGCAAGUCGAGCGGCAGCGCGGCCUUCGGGCUGGCGGCGAGCGGCGAACGGGUGAGUAAUGCAUCGGAACAUGCCCAGUCGUGGGGGAUAACACUUCGAAAGAAGUGCUAAUACCGCAUACGUCCUGAGGGGGAAAGCGGGGGAUCGCAAGACCUCGCGCGAUUGGAGUGGCCGAUGUCAGAUUAGCUAGUUGGUGGGGUAAAGGCCUACCAAGGCGACGAUCUGUAGCUGGUCUGAGAGGAUGAUCAGCCACACUGGGACUGAGACACGGCCCAGACUCCUACGGGAGGCAGCAGUGGGGAAUUUUGGACAAUGGGGGCAACCCUGAUCCAGCCAUUCCGCGUGAGUGAAGAAGGCCUUCGGGUUGUAAAGCUCUUUCGGCAGGAACGAAACGGUGGGCUCUAACAUAGUCCGCUAAUGACGGUACCUGAAGAAGAAGCACCGGCUAACUACGUG